This 157-nucleotide non-coding RNA is filed under the name Sulfitobacter donghicola. Its description in RNAcentral is "FMN sequence". It matches the Rfam family "FMN riboswitch aptamer (RFN element)". Rfam says of the family: The RFN element is a highly conserved domain that is found frequently in the 5'-untranslated regions of prokaryotic mRNAs that encode for flavin mononucleotide (FMN) biosynthesis and transport proteins. This element is a metabolite-dependent riboswitch that directly binds FMN in the absence of proteins. RNAcentral also lists the same sequence under 1 other name. The record is from RNAcentral. Lineage: Bacteria; Pseudomonadati; Pseudomonadota; Alphaproteobacteria; Rhodobacterales; Roseobacteraceae.
CUCUAUUCUCAGGGCGGGGCGAAAUUCCCCACCGGCGGUAUGGGGGCGCGCCCCCGAGCCCGCGAGCGCUGCCAACCUCCAUUCCAGAGGCGGCAGGUCAGCAGAUCUGGUGAGAUGCCAGAGCCGACGGUCAUAGUCCGGAUGGAAGAGAAUACAG